RNAcentral lists this long non-coding RNA (409 nucleotides) under Rattus norvegicus (Norway rat). RNAcentral's name for it is "long non-coding RNA NONRATT028172". The record is from RNAcentral. Lineage: Eukaryota; Metazoa; Chordata; Mammalia; Rodentia; Muridae.
AGGAACCUUUCACAGCAGCCAAUACCUGCAGGGCAACAAAGAAUCAAAUGAGAGCGAGACAAGCUGGGAAUGAAGUCCUGGUUGCCAGAUGGGAGCUUGAAAAUACAGUAAGAUGAGUCAAAAAGUGGCCAAGGAGGGCCCCAGGCUCUCCAAGAACCAGAAGUUCUCAGAGCACUUCAGCAUCCACUGCUGCCCACCCUUCACCUUCCUCAACUCCAAGCGUGAGAUCGUGGACCGCAAGUACAGCAUCUGCAAGAGCGGUUGCUUUUACCAGAAGAAGGAGGAGGACUGGAUCUGCUGUGCCUGCCAGAAGACCAGCCGCCGUGCCACAUCCCCUCAGAAGCCCAAGCACCAGCCAGCUGCAUCCCCUGUGGUGGUCAGAGCGCCGCCAGCCAAGCCAAAGUCCCCU